This 465-nucleotide ribosomal RNA is filed under the name uncultured bacterium. RNAcentral's name for it is "partial 16S ribosomal RNA". It matches the Rfam family "Bacterial small subunit ribosomal RNA", at positions 28 to 507 of the family's 1533-position model. The record is from RNAcentral.
GACGAACGCUGGCGGCGUGCUUAACACAUGCAAGUCGAACGGAAAGGCCCUGCUUGCAGGGUACUCGAGUGGCGAACAGGUGAGUAACACGUGGGUGAUCUGCCCUGCACUUCGGGAUAAGCCUGGGAAACUGGGUCUAAUACCGGAUAGGAGCCAUUUUUAGUGUGAUGGUUGGAAAGUUUUUUCGGUGUAGGAUGAGCUCGCGGCCUAUCAGCUUGUUGGUGGGGUAAUGGCCUACCAAGGCGGCGACGGGUAGCCGGCCUGAGAGGGUGGACGGCCACAUUGGGACUGAGAUACGGCCCAGACUCCUACGGGAGGCAGCAGUGGGGAAUAUUGCACAAGGGGCGCAAGCCCGAUGCAGCGACGCCGCGUGGGGGAGGACGGCCUUCGGGUUGUAAACUCCUUUCGCUAGGGACGAAGCUUUUUGUGACGGUACCUAGAGAAGAAGCACCGGCUAACUACGUG